CCAUUCCUUUUGCUCCAAGCAUAUGUUAUCCAUUCCAUUCCCAAAAAUGCUCCAAAAUGCAUUUCUUUGCCACAUUAACCCUUUGGACCUACAAACCCACAAAAAUAGCUUAAAAUACUAAAUUAACUACGAACUAACAACAUAAAUGCCAAGAAACAAGCUAACUAAGUCGCAUAAAUAUGCUCCUAUCAAAUUCCCCCACACUUAGCUUUUGCUAGUCCUCGAGCAAAACAAAAGAAACAAAACAAAACAAAACACAACCUAGACCUUCCAACAAUUGCCUCAGGGAUUUUUAAUGAAACAUGACAUGUUAAAAAUCAUCAUUCCCACAGAUUUUGGGCAUCCUUACACAUGAGCACAUACGUAAUCACAGUCACCACUUACUAGUUCUCAAUUCCUUACAAGAUACUCUCUAUUUUCACACACAUUUUCUGACUACACACCCUACACUAGUAUAUGUGAGAAGAUUGAUGUAAACACAAAAGAUUAGGUCUCACAUAUAUUAUAACAAAGAAAGCAAUUUUCUGGAGUUAUUAAGCAUGUUUAGAUAUGAUCUCAUGAAUGGAAUGCUAUUACUUAGAUGCGAGAACUAGUGACACCAUAUGCUCAUACCAAUUUCGAACUCCACAAAUUGAAACACACAACACUCAAGAUU
RNAcentral lists this long non-coding RNA (655 nucleotides) under Malus domestica (apple). RNAcentral's name for it is "long non-coding RNA (MDOM_LNC019863)". Lineage: Eukaryota; Viridiplantae; Streptophyta; Magnoliopsida; Rosales; Rosaceae. The record is from RNAcentral.